This 2432-nucleotide long non-coding RNA is filed under the name Capra hircus (goat). RNAcentral's name for it is "lncRNA (ENSCHIG00010012570.1)". The record is from RNAcentral. Lineage: Eukaryota; Metazoa; Chordata; Mammalia; Artiodactyla; Bovidae.
CCCCACCCCCCACAUGUUGCUGACAGCAAUUGGCUAAGGGGCCGCGGCUCUCCGCGCACCCUCUCCCGCCCGAGACGAUGAAUGGACAUCGGCUUUGUCAGUCAUUUGUACAGCGCGGCAGCCCGGGCCCUCGUCUUUUCUUUCUUUUCAGCCUUUCUCCCUUUCAUCGGCCGAGUUGCACUUCAGACUGGGCAAGUUCAGGGUGGCACCCGGGGGNNNNNNNNNNNNNNNNNNNNNNNNNNNNNNNNNNNNNNNNNNNNNNNNNNNNNNNNNNNNNNNNNNNNNNNNNNNNNNNNNNNNNNNNNNNNNNNNNNNGGGUGGCACCCGGGGGAGAGGGCACUCGGCAAGAAAUGUCAACCUGCGCGGCUCUACCGUGACCUCUGCUCUGGGGGGGUGGGGGGAGGGGAGGGGGCGGGGGUCCAAACUCCUGGCAGGAGAAAAUCUCAGGGCAAAUCCUUCUUCCGAGGUAGUUGGAACACUUUGGCCCUGGGGGCCUUCCACUCCCUUUCCGAAUAGAAGCCGGCUCAGGACCACCUGCCAAUCGGCGCGUAAAUACCGCCCCGCCCCCACCCCCGACUCCCGCCUUCGCCUGGGCGGACGCAGGAACUACCGAGAACUUUUGUCAUCGUUUGGUCCAGGCCGGCCGCGGGGCCGUCUGCCCGAGACUUCGGACCGACACGACGGGGAAACGAAGGCGUCGAGCCGCCCAGGUCGCAGGCUCGGCCUGGCCCGCCGGCCGGCGGGAAGGGCAGAGCGUUCACAGGGCCCAGGGCGCGAGUCAGCCAGGCCGGCGGCGCCCCAGGUCAAACGGAGGGCGGCCAGACCCGCUGCGGCCCGCGAGCGGCCCCUCUCCCACAUUCUCCGCCUCCGCACCGUGGACGCCUGGUCACAGCCACAGGUCGGGGCCGCCGGGUGCGCGGCGCCCCGGCCGAGAGCCGGGAGGGAGAGAAGAAACCCAACAUCUGUGUGUACAAUGCGCUCGCGGGCCCACAGCUGCAGGCACAGGGGGAAGAAAGGCAGGGAGGAGGGGGAGACCCUGUCACAGGCGAUGACAGUCUGCGGAGGGCUCUUUCGUGUCUCCUUUUCUGGAGACCCCGGCGCCCUCCUCCCUGGCCCCCUCUCCCGCCGCUUUCCCAUUGUUCCCGCGCUCAGGACAGCUGGAGACGGCGGCCCGCGCCAGCAGAGCGGCCCCUCCUCACCGACGCCCCUCCUGCCCGCUCCCGGCGGCCCGGCUGAAGCCCCCAAGCUCCUCGGUGGCCAGCCCCGCCCCAGCCCACCCCAGGCCCCUGGAGCGCUGCCCCCAGACUUGCCGCGCGCCGAGGCCCCCUCACGGCCACAGAAACGCCUAAACCCUCCACCCGGGGCUCAGGGCACGAGGGCCUGCGAAGGGCUCGUCUCCGGCUCAAGUGUCCCAAGGGCUCCUUCCUCUGACCUAAGCAGAGAACUACUUGUGUUUGGUGCUUCCCUGAUGGCUUAGCUGGUAAAAAGUCUGCCCGCAGUGCAGGAAACCCGGGUUCGAUCCCUGGGUCGGAAGAGCCCCUGGAGAACCGGAAUAGCAACCCGCUCCAGUAUUCUCGCCUGGAGAGUUUUGUGGACAGGGGAGCCUGGUGGGCUACAGUCCAUGGGGUCGCAAAGCGUCGGACAGGACUGAGCGACUAACACUUGAGGAGCCGAGAGUGGAGCGCUUCAGCGAACCCGGGCUCUCUAGGUCUGGGAGGGCCCGAGCUCGUGGGGGCUGGAGGUCUGCGGGCCGCUUCGCCCGGCUGCCAGAAGCGCCAGCGGAAACUCGGUUCUGGGGCAGGGGGCAAAGGGGAACCAGUGUUCUCUCCAGCUGCUCACCCCAUCCCCAGACAGCCGGCAGGACAGGAGGGGGCCACCCCAAACCUCGCGUCCCCGCGCGGGGGUACAGGGUGCAGACCCCCUCCCGGCCUCCCUCUGCGGGGCCCAGGUACCUCCUGGAAAGAGGAGGGGAAAGGGAGGAGGCGGUAGGGCCUCAGAGAGCUGGGGAGGCCUGCGGGAGGGGACCUGCGGCCCUCAGCCUGGCUGGGAACCGGCCUCUCCAUAGCAACCGCCUGUGCGCGCGCGCCCGCGCGCAUGUCUGUGCGCGCGCUCGUUUGUGUGCGGGGGAGUGGGCUCNNNNNNNNNNNNGGCCCGGGUUGGGGGAUCUCGAGCCCUGGGCGUGGGGGACAGGGAAGUUCUCUCCGGAACAGGGGUGGGGGGCGGCCUUUUCGGAGGUGCUGGGGACUCUGGGAUCUGGGCACGCGGCGGCAGGCACCGGCCGAGCAGGGGGGAUGAGCCCGGGCCCCCGCACUGGGCCGUAGGGGCACCGAGGCGCCUGGCCCCGGCUGUUCGGCCGCCUGCUGCGGUCACGGGGACCUGGGGCUUGGCGGGCUGAGCGCGGGCGGUGGUCUUCACCUAGACCCAGCGCGGUG